CGCACUGAGAAGUCUCCUGCCACGUCCGACUGCAGGAGUGGGAGGAGGAGCUGGAGGUGGGGGCUCUCAGACACUCAUUCAAAAUCCCGCCCUCCCCACAGAACGCAACCUCAUUAAGACGGCCUGCUGGAGAGAGGAUUAGGCAUCACGGUGAGUCCUCAUCAUGUGGUUGUUAUUAUCAGUAGUUUCCAUCAUCAUUCAGAACUCAUAAUUCAAAACUGGUGCCCUCUUGCCAGCCGCGGCUGCCCUUGGAUCAGCUGAUCAGAGCCAGGCUCCCCCACACCUACAUUCCCGCUUUGAACCCAUAAGCAUGUGGAAGCCUCAAGCACGCAGGCCUCCAGACCUGCCUAAAAGAGAAAGGGAGUGGCCCACUCCCCCAAACCAAAGGGAGUGACAGUGGCCAGGGGGAGGGGCAGCUGGUGGUCAGGGAAGGCCUCAUGAGGGAGGCAGCACCAGGCCCUUGAAUAGGGGAGGGGCAGAGAGGACAAACAGAGCUUCUCUCCUCCUAAAGCACCUGUCUCUACUCUCCUUCCUCGCACCCCUAAUAGCCUAGAAGUUUCCCUGUAUCCCCAGCAAAAAGCGUUUUCUGGGGAAUUCUAGGGAUCAAAGUGGUCUUCACUGCCUCAGUGAACCUGGUAGUGAGGACAAUAACUCCUGCCUGGUUCCCCUUCACACCUGCAGCUGCUACCGGGGUGACCUCCAGGGUCCUCACUGCCGCUCCCUCCCGCCUCAACCCGGAGAGGAAAGUCACUCCUUGGAAUCAUCUCCUGCAGUGACCCUAGGCAUGGGGGAGCACCCCAGGAAGGCCUUAGAUACUUUACAGUGUCCCCCUACAGGGGAGGCUCAGCUCAGGCUGCUGCCCUCACAGACAAGGACGCCACUGCAGGGGCAGCUACGACAGUGCCGGGUGCCUGGGGAGUGUUUGACAGAUUCAGGUUGAAGAAACAAAGGCAGGAAAAGGCAAGGAAGGGAAUGAGGGGACCGAGGAAGGUCGGAAUCAGGACUCCUGGACCCACUGCCGCCUGCCCUACCAUCCAUCACCCCAUCGUCCAUCCCCCAGGUUCCAACAUGGUCCAGUGGGGUCCCAGACACAUUCGGGGGGUGGACGGCGUUUCAGGCCAGGAGGAGGCCUUUUCCCAGGCCCUGUGGCCCUCCCCACUGGCGGGAAGCGAUCUUUCCAGGUGA
This 1185-nucleotide long non-coding RNA is filed under the name Macaca fascicularis (crab-eating macaque). RNAcentral's name for it is "lncRNA (ENSMFAG00000055688.1)". Lineage: Eukaryota; Metazoa; Chordata; Mammalia; Primates; Cercopithecidae. The record is from RNAcentral.